AGUGAACGCUGGCGGCGUGCUUAACACAUGCAAGUCGAACGAGAACGGAAUAUAGCUUGCUAUAUUUGUCAGCUAAGUGGCGCACGGGUGAGUAAUGUAUAGAUAACCUGCCCUUAAGAAAGGAAUAACAGUUGGAAACGACUGCUAAUGCCCUAUAUGCCUUUAAUACAUAAGUAUGCAAAGGAAACGCUUUAGUGCUUAAGGAUGGGUCUGUAUGGUAUCAGCUUGUUGGUGAGGUAAUGGCUCACCAAGGCUAUGACGCCUAACUGGUUUGAGAGGAUGAUCAGGCACACUGGAACUGAGACACGGUCCAGACUCCUACGGGAGGCAGCAGUGGGGAAUAUUGCACAAUGGACGAAAGUCUGAUGCAGCAACGCCGCGUGGAGGAUGGCACAUUUCGGUGCGUAAACUCCUUUUAUAUAGGAAGAUAAUGACGGUACUAUAUGAAUAAGCACCGGCUAACUCCGUGCCAGCAGCCGCUGUAA
RNAcentral lists this ribosomal RNA (485 nucleotides) under uncultured bacterium. RNAcentral describes it as "partial 16S ribosomal RNA". It matches the Rfam family "Bacterial small subunit ribosomal RNA", at positions 29 to 523 of the family's 1533-position model. The record is from RNAcentral.